This 270-nucleotide ribosomal RNA is filed under the name uncultured prokaryote. Its description in RNAcentral is "partial 16S ribosomal RNA". It matches the Rfam family "Bacterial small subunit ribosomal RNA", at positions 524 to 792 of the family's 1533-position model. The record is from RNAcentral.
UACGGAGGAUCCGAGCGUUAUCCGGAUUUAUUGGGUUUAAAGGGUGCGCAGGCGGGAGAUUAAGUCGGCGGUGAAAUUUUGCAGCUCAACUGUAAAAGUGCCUUCGAAACUGGUUUCCUUGAGUGUAGAUGAAGUAGGCGGAAUUUGUGGUGUAGCGGUGAAAUGCAUAGAUAUCACGAGGAACUCCGAUUGCGCAGGCAGCUUACUAAACUACUACUGACGCUCAGGCACGAAGGCGUGGGGAUCAAACAGGAUUAGAUACCCCCUGUA